UACCAGCACCCCGAGUGGUCGGGGCGAUUAUUGGGCCUAAAGCGUCCGUAGCCGGUUUUACAAGUCCUCCGUUAAAUCCAGCUGCUUAACAGAUGGGCUGCGGAGGAUACUAUAAGACUAGGAGGCAGGAGAGGCAAGCGGUACUCAGUGGGUAGGGGUAAAAUCCGUUGAUCCAUUGAAGACCACCAGUGGCGAAGGCGGCUUGCCAGAAUGCGCUCGACGGUGAGGGAUGAAAGCUGGGGGAGCAAACCGG
This 253-nucleotide ribosomal RNA is filed under the name uncultured bacterium. RNAcentral describes it as "partial 16S ribosomal RNA". It matches the Rfam family "Archaeal small subunit ribosomal RNA", at positions 474 to 727 of the family's 1478-position model. The record is from RNAcentral.